AUGGACUUUCAAACACUCUUAAGGCUGUAACUUUGUCCACUCUUACAAAUUUGACUCUGCUAGACACGCCAAGUAAUGUAUCCUUCUGAGAAACCUUGGAGUCUCUUCUGAGACCAUGGCUCCCUUCAGGGUGGUUCUCCAUUCAUAGAUUGCUGCACUUUAUGUCUUAUAAUCUUCACCCCUUACCCUUCAACUGUGGUUGCAACAUCUCUGUCCAGAUAAUGCAUGGCCAAUCCAAAUGCAGCAUCCACAGACUGGGCAAGAACCACAAGAAGUCCAGCUGGAAAACUCCACUCAAUAACAUAAUG
Molecule: long non-coding RNA, 308 nt
Filed under: Homo sapiens (human)
Lineage: Eukaryota; Metazoa; Chordata; Mammalia; Primates; Hominidae
Description: non-protein coding lnc-COL8A1-9:1
Source: RNAcentral